UGUCUCAAGACUUUAACACAAUGGAAACAUUUGAAACAAUAGUGAACACAACUAUUUGUAUAGAAUCUACUAUACACAAAGUUUUAAAAAUAAUUAUGACUUGAACCCAGAACUGAAAGAGUCAUUGCUGAGAAGAGACUAGCAGUAAGUCAUAAACACCAUUGCAAGCAAACAAAAACAGUAUUUAUCAACUACAGUCUUGACAAAUUGGAAUUAAGAAGAGUAAGUUUUCAAAAAAAAAAAAAA
Long non-coding RNA from Ipomoea nil (Japanese morning glory), 246 nucleotides. RefSeq lists it as uncharacterized. The record is from RefSeq and is a predicted model, not a curated record. NCBI's taxonomy places the organism in Eukaryota, Viridiplantae, Streptophyta, Magnoliopsida, Solanales, Convolvulaceae. The transcript is spliced from 3 exons.